GCAACAAAAUUGCUGCAACUUGUAACAAAAUCUGAUUUCAACGCAUUUUAAGUAGAAAUGUUGACAAAAUAUUUCAAUUAACAUGCGCAGAAAUCAGAUUUUGUUGCAAGUUGCAGCAAUUUUGUUG
Molecule: non-coding RNA, 127 nt
Organism: Paramuricea clavata
Lineage: Eukaryota; Metazoa; Cnidaria; Anthozoa; Malacalcyonacea; Plexauridae
Source: the annotation of a GenBank genome assembly